This 796-nucleotide ribosomal RNA is filed under the name uncultured Glomeraceae. Its description in RNAcentral is "SSU rRNA". It matches the Rfam family "Eukaryotic small subunit ribosomal RNA", at positions 314 to 1114 of the family's 1831-position model. Lineage: Eukaryota; Fungi; Glomeromycota; Glomeromycetes; Glomerales; Glomeraceae. The record is from RNAcentral.
AUCAACUUUCGAUGGUAGGAUAGAGGCCUACCAUGGUGGUAACGGGUAACGGGGUGUUAGGGCACGACACCGGAGAGGGAGCCUGAGAAACGGCUACCACAUCCAAGGAUGGCAGCAGGCGCGCAAAUUACCCAAUCCCGACACGGGGAGGUAGUGACAAUAAAUAACAAUACGGGGUUCUUUAGGAUCUCGUAAUUGGAAUGAGUACAAUUUAAAUCUCUUAACGAGGAACAAUUGGAGGGCAAGUCUGGUGCCAGCAGCCGCGGUAAUUCCAGCUCCAAUAGCGUAUAUUAAAGUUGUUGCAGUUAAAAAGCUCGUAGUUGAAUUUCGGGGUCAGUAGGUUGGUCGUGCCACCGGUACGUACUGGUCUCACUGAUUCCUCCUUCCUGAUGAGCUGUAAUGCCAUUAAUUUGGUGUUGCAGGGAAUCUGGACUGUUACUUUGAAAAAAUUGGAGUGUUUAAAGCAGGCUAACGCUUGAAUACAUUAGCAUGGAAUAAUGAAAUAGGACGUUCGAUCCUAUUUUGUUGGUUUCUAGGAUUGACGUAAUGAUUAAUAGGGAUAGUUGGGGGCAUUAGUAUUCAAUUGUCAGAGGUGAAAUUCUUGGAUUUAUUGAAGACUAACUACUGCGAAAGCAUUUGCCAAGGAUGUUUUCAUUAAUCAAGAACGAAAGUUAGGGGAUCGAAGACGAUCAGAUACCGUCGUAGUCUUAACCAUAAACUAUGCCGACUAGGAAUCGGGCGACGUUAUUUUCAUGACUCGCUCGGCGCCUUAUGGGAAACCAAAGUGUUUGGGUUC